AGGACGAACGCUGGCGGCGUGCUUAACACAUGCAAGUGGAGCGACGAACCAGGGCUUGCCCUGGGGCAGAGCCGCGAACGGGUGAGUAACACGUGGGUUACCUGCCUCGAUGACCGGGACAACCCGAGGAAACUCGGGCUAAUACCGGAUGUGCCCGCAAGGGGAAAGGAAGCUUCGGCCUCCGCAUCGAGAUGGGCCCGCGGCCCAUUAGCUUGUUGGUGAGGUAACGGCUCACCAAGGCUUCGAUGGGUAGCUGGUCUGAGAGGACGAUCAGCCACACUGGGACUGAGACACGGCCCAGACUCCUACGGGAGGCAGCAGUGGGGAAUCUUGCGCAAUGCGCGAAAGCGUGACGCAGCAACGCCGCGUGGGGGAAGAAGGCUUUCGGGUUGUAAACCCCUUUCAGUUGGGACGAAGCUUCGUCCGGUGAAUAGCCGGAUGGAGUGACGGUACCUUCACAAGAAGCACCGGCUAACUACGCGCCAGCAGCCGCGGU
Molecule: ribosomal RNA, 496 nt
Filed under: uncultured bacterium
Lineage: Bacteria
Description: SSU rRNA
Rfam family: Bacterial small subunit ribosomal RNA
Source: RNAcentral